ACACUCUUAGCACCCUACAAGCAGGUAUGUGCUUACCAGCAAACUAAAGCAAAUGGAAAUUAAGAAGCAUGAUCACCACCAGCAAGGUGCUGCUGAACUAUAAGGCUUCAAGACUUAAAAAGGAUUCAAAAGACACCAAAGGUUCACUUUUGGCUAAAAGCUAAAUGUGAACCUUUCAAAAUGAACUCAUUGCUGUCUUCCUCUCAAAAGGCCUUCAGAUGGUCAGAUAAAGUACCUGAUGCUGAAAAACAGGAAAUUGAAUCAUGUCUCCAAAAUGUGCCUUUUGUCAUGCACUGUUACAGCUAUAUUUCUUGUAACUACAUUCAGCCUCCAGCCAAGAUAAAGAAUUAUGUGAUACAUACUUCAUCUUCCAUCACUGCUUUCAAAAGAUGUGAAUUCUGCAAACCAGACAGAAGAGGGAGCUAUCCAUCUGGAAAUUAACCAAUCCUUUCAAAAACAUGUCAAAUAAAUAUAGAAG
Molecule: long non-coding RNA, 478 nt
Filed under: Homo sapiens (human)
Lineage: Eukaryota; Metazoa; Chordata; Mammalia; Primates; Hominidae
Description: HSALNT0302604
Source: RNAcentral